GAACAAGGGUCCACCAAGCACAGUCACCUCACUUCUUCCCCACAGCAGCCCUGUUAGGCAAAUGUUUUCAACAUGAAAAGAUGGAGUCUUAAGCAAGUGUAUCGGUAAUAAUUGCCAGUUUUAUUCCCCUGGCUAGGUGAUCAAGAGGUAAUUUGAAGUUUACAUAUCUUUUUUAUAGUCCUGUUAUUAAGAGUUUAUUAACUGUUUCAUUGCCCUUCAAAGGUGAUUAACAAGUUUUUUUAUUGUGUUUAUUUUAGGUUUUUUUCAUGGCACAAGUAAUACACACACAUACACACACAUAUAUAUAGUUCAUUUUUUUUGGAAAAUGAGGAGAUGCAAAUAGGCAAAAAAGGAAAAAAAAUACAGGUCACACAGAGAUUCACAGUUAACCCUUUGGUGUAUAAUAAUUCAGACUUUUUUGCAUUUAUGACCUAUAUAAAUGUACACAUAAGAUAUAUAUAGCUAGAUCUAUAUAUAUCAUUUUGCAGCAUAUUCUUUUCACUUUACAAUGUACAAUGAGCAUCUUCCCAUGCAAACGAAUGAAACAACCCUAUUAAAUGAGUGAGAUUGGGUCAAAAGAUGAAGUGUUGGUAACAAGAGUCAUGUAUAAAUCAAAAGAACACUGAAGGAUUGAAAUAAAAUAGUAGCAAAUAUUUAGCAAGAAAAGGCAGACAAAAAGGACCAAUGAUGGCAAUAUUAACAAAGAAAACAGUUGAACUGGGCGAAGAAAUGCAUUAAAUGGGAUAAGGACCCCCACGAGAAUGCCUAUAGUUAGAAUGCAGAGCCCUAAAUUUCCUUCUCAGACCCCUUAUCUCUUCCAAACACCUUUCCAUCUCAUCUCCCUCUCUUGUCAUUUCUUCAUCCCUAAAAUGCCUAUAGUCUAUGUCCUCUUUAAAUUCCUCGAGAGACUGAAGCAGCCUUUGCCUAAAAUUCCCUUCUGUUUGCUGGCGUUCAAAUUCUCCAUAGGGGCGUUCUUCCUCUCUCUUUGGCACGCUGCACUUGGACUUUCCUUCGUUUUCUUUGCAGGAUUUUUGCAUGAUGGGUCGUUUCCUGACGUCUGUGAACACAGACCUACGGACCUGCAGACCUGCAGACCGAAAGGAAGGGGGUGGGGACGAGGAGGAGGGAGUUCCCUGUGGAUGGACCAGCCCCAGAGACAAG
Molecule: long non-coding RNA, 1161 nt
Filed under: Sus scrofa (pig)
Lineage: Eukaryota; Metazoa; Chordata; Mammalia; Artiodactyla; Suidae
Description: lncRNA (ENSSSCG00035023360.1, ENSSSCG00045039388.1)
Source: RNAcentral